RNAcentral lists this ribosomal RNA (456 nucleotides) under Triticum aestivum (bread wheat). RNAcentral's name for it is "partial small subunit ribosomal RNA". Lineage: Eukaryota; Viridiplantae; Streptophyta; Magnoliopsida; Poales; Poaceae. The record is from RNAcentral.
AUGGCCAAGAACCAUCUCCUCCUCAUCCUCCUUGUGGCUGCCUCUGUUGUGGCCUCUCCAGCCACCGUCACCUCGAGCAGCUCCCCCUCUUCAACAGCAUAUGAGCUGCUAGAGAAGUACGGCUUCCCGCGAGGAAUCCUCCCGGAGGGUGUUCAAGACUAUUUCCUCCACCCAGACGGAUCCUUUGAGGUCUCCCUCCACGGCGGUUGUGAGAUCAAUGUCGGGGGAUUCACUCUCCGGUACGAAGGAAAUGUGCAUGGCAACAUCCAGUCUAUGUUGAUUAACGCGUUGACCGGGGUGAGCGUCAAGGUUGCAUUCCAAUGGAUUAGCAUCAAUGCAGUUGAACGGCAUGGUGAUCAGCUCGUCUUCAAUGCAGCCGUUAUAUCAAAAUCGUUUCAUGUUAACAACUUCUCCGUGAGCCCGCGCUGCAGCCGAAUCCCUGGAAUUGCAAAGUAG